GGCUGGGAUUUGGGGUUCAGGCUGGGAUUUGGGGUUCAGGCUGGGAUUUGGGGUUCAGGCUGGGAUCCCGGCACUCCUGGCAGGAUUUCCCCUGGCCUUGGAUUCACCUCCCAGAACUUCUGCUGCUCGUUUCUCUGAUCAUAAAGUAUAAUUUAGUGCUUUAAUCUGAGUCAGGUUGGGAUGUAAAUAUAAAUUAUGUACCAUAAAUACAGGAUUUAUUCAUUAUAUUUAUUUAUUAGCUUUAUUUUAUGUAUUUAUCAUUUGUAAUAAAUAAAUAAAUUGCAAUUCUGUGAGGACAGGAGGUUUUCAGUGGGAGCUGAACUUCUCCCUGCCCGAAUUUUCACCUGGGCUUGCAUUCACAUCACAGAACUUAUUUCGCUGAUUUCUCUAAUCAUAAAAUACAUCUUAUCACCUUAAUUUCUGGUCAGAAUGUGAUGUAAGUAUAAAUUCUAUACUAUAAAUAUAGAUAGAUAGAUUUAUUUAUUUAUAAUAAGUAAAUAAAUUAUGAAUUUUUUCAAUGGGAGCUGAACUUCUCCCUGCCAGGAUUUUCACCUGGGCUUGCAUUCACAUCACAGAAGUUUGGUUUUGUUUUUUUUUUUUGCUGCUUUCUCUAAUCAUAAACUAUAUUUUAGCACGUUAAUCUUUGUCAAUAUGGGAUGUAAACACAAAUUCUCUACCACAUAAAAAAUAUAUUGCAAUAAGUGCUUCUAUAAAAUAGAAAAGGGGCAGCAAUUCUUCUAAUGUAACAAUCCAAUUCUUAACUCAUACAGUGGAAAAACAUCUCAGAGGUGCAAAUCCUGUAUUUAAAUAUCAUAAAAACAGAAUGCAAAAAGACAAUUUCUCAUGAUCCUGCAAGCUUUUAAUUAAUCUUGAUGAUUUAUUGCCAUAUGGCUGCUUAAAAAACAAAAA
Non-coding RNA from Taeniopygia guttata (zebra finch), 909 nucleotides. Lineage: Eukaryota; Metazoa; Chordata; Aves; Passeriformes; Estrildidae. The record is from RefSeq and is a predicted model, not a curated record.